RNAcentral lists this ribosomal RNA (497 nucleotides) under uncultured bacterium. Its description in RNAcentral is "partial 16S ribosomal RNA". It matches the Rfam family "Bacterial small subunit ribosomal RNA", at positions 28 to 507 of the family's 1533-position model. The record is from RNAcentral.
GACGAACGCUGGCGGCGUGCCUAAUACAUGCAAGUCGAACGCACAGACUAGGAGCUUGCUCCUCUCGGAUUAGUUGCGGACGGGUGAGUAACACGUGGAUAACCUACCUAUUAGACUGGGAUAACUUUGGGAAACCGUAGCUAAUACCGCAUAAUAUUAUAUAUCGCAUGGUUUUUUCUUGAAAGACGCUUUUGCAUUACCUUCUAGAUGACUCCCGUCCUCAUUGCCUGUUUGGUAGGGUAACGGCUUACCAGGGAACCGAUGCGUACCCGCCCGGAGAGGGGGAUCGGCAACACUGGAACUGAGACACGGUCCAGACUCCUACGGGAGGAAGCAGUAGGGAAUCUUCCGCAAUGGGCGAAAGCCUGACGGAGCAACGCCGCGUGAGUGAUGAAGGUCUUCGGAUCGUAAAACUCUGUUAUUAGGGAAGAACAAAUGUGUAAGUAACUAUGCACGUCUUGACGGUACCUAAUCAGAAAGCCACGGCUAACUACGUG